RNAcentral lists this ribosomal RNA (489 nucleotides) under uncultured bacterium. Its description in RNAcentral is "partial 16S ribosomal RNA". It matches the Rfam family "Bacterial small subunit ribosomal RNA", at positions 30 to 507 of the family's 1533-position model. The record is from RNAcentral.
UUGAACGCUGGCGGCAGGCCUAACACAUGCAAGUCGAACGGUAACAGGAAGCAGCUUGCUGCUUCGCUGACGAGUGGCGGACGGGUGAGUAAUGUCUGGGAAGCUGCCUGAUGGAGGGGGAUAACUACUGGAAACGGUAGCUAAUACCGCAUAAUGUCGCAAGACCAAAGAGGGGGACCUUCGGGCCUCUUGCCAUCGGAUGUGCCCAGAUGGGAUUGGCUUGUUGGUGGGGUAACGGCUCACCAAGGCGACGAUCCCUAGCUGGUCUGAGAGGAUGACCAGCCACACUGGAACUGAGACACGGUCCAGACUCCUACGGGAGGCAGCAGUGGGGAAUAUUGCACAAAGGGCGCAAGCAUGAUGCAGCCAUGCCGCGUGUAUGAAGAAGGCCUUCGGGUUGUAAAGUACUUUCAGCGGGGAGGAAGGGAGUAAAGUUAAUACCUUUGCUCAUUGACGUUACCCGCAGAAGAAGCACCGGCUAACUCCGUG